This 605-nucleotide long non-coding RNA is filed under the name Vulpes vulpes (red fox). Its description in RNAcentral is "lncRNA (ENSVVUG00000018116.1)". Lineage: Eukaryota; Metazoa; Chordata; Mammalia; Carnivora; Canidae. The record is from RNAcentral.
GUAAAACAGCCACAGUAAUAACUUCCAUUUAUUAUUUCCCAAGCAUCGUCCUAGUGGCUGUAUACAUAUUAUCUCCUUGAUUCCUCGCCAAAUCUUGACUAUGAGCAAUUCUUACGUCUGUAUUAUAGGUGCGGCAACAGGGGCUCAUAUAGGUUAAGUGACAUGCCCUCGUUCAGUCAACCAAUGAGUGGUGGAAUUGAAAUCUGGACUAGAGUUGACCAUUCCUGGACACAGAAAUGGAGAAGGAACCACUCUGCUGUCCAGCAACUUUGACAAGGCCUGUUUCUGUUGGGAUCCACCAUGCUUUCCUUGACCAUUCUCUGCCUCAGGUCACAGGAUCUCUGUCCAGAAUUCUCCUGUCUUGGAAGAUUUGAAAUGUACCACUAAAUUAAUUCAAAAGUUCACUUGUAGAAUACGGAAUCCUAGAACUUCAUUUAAAAGUGAGGACUAUCUAAGGGGCAUCUGGAUGACUCAGUUAAACAUCUGACUCAUGACCUCAGCUCAGGUCUUGAUUGCAGGGUUGCGAGUUGAAAGCCCACAUUGGGCUCCAUACUGGGCAUGGAACCUACUUAAAAAAUAAAAAAUAAAAAAUAAAAAAAUUAACA